This 406-nucleotide ribosomal RNA is filed under the name uncultured bacterium. RNAcentral's name for it is "partial 16S ribosomal RNA". It matches the Rfam family "Bacterial small subunit ribosomal RNA", at positions 30 to 526 of the family's 1533-position model. The record is from RNAcentral.
AUUGAACGCUGGCGGCAGGCUUAACACAUGCAAGUCGAACGAGUGGCGGACGGGUGAGUAAUGUCUGGGAACCUGCCCGGUGGAGGGGGAUAACUACUGGAAACGGUAGCUAAUACCGCAUACCAUCGGAUGUGCCCAGAUGGGAUUAGCUAGUUGGUGGGGUAAAGGCUCACCUAGGCAACGAUCCCUAGCUGGUCUGAGAGGAUGACCAGCCACACUGGAACUGAGACACGGUCCAGACUCCUACGGGAGGCAGCAGUGGGGAAUUUUGGACAAUGGGCGAAACCCUGAUGCAGCCAUGCCGCGUGUAUGAAGAAGGCCUUCGGGUUGUAAAGUACUUUCAGCGGAGAAGCGUUACCCGCAGAAGAAGCACCGGCUAACUCCGUGCCAGCAGCCGCGGUAAUUC